This 285-nucleotide ribosomal RNA is filed under the name Clostridioides difficile. Its description in RNAcentral is "partial 16S ribosomal RNA". It matches the Rfam family "Bacterial small subunit ribosomal RNA", at positions 884 to 1168 of the family's 1533-position model. Lineage: Bacteria; Bacillati; Bacillota; Clostridia; Peptostreptococcales; Peptostreptococcaceae. The record is from RNAcentral.
GCUCGCAAGAGGGAAACUCAAAGGAAUUGACGGGGACCCGCACAAGUAGCGGAGCAUGUGGUUUAAUUCGAAGCAACGCGAAGAACCUUACCUAAGCUUGACAUCCCAAUGACAUCUCCUUAAUCGGAGAGUUCCUUUCGGGGACAUUGGUGACAGGGGGUGCAUGGUUGUCGUCAGCUCGUGUCGUGAGAUGUUGGGUUAAGUCCCGCAACGAGCGCAACCCUUGUCUUUAGUUGCCAUCAUUAAGUUGGGCACUCUAGAGAGACUGCCAGGGAUAACCUGGAG